GUAGCCUCUGGUCCUUUUGUUACUUGGGUGUGGAUAGUUAGGGUUUUCCUUUUGAUUUAGUUCUAGAAAGUCAGAGUGAAUCAGCUUUAGGUUCCCUGCCUCCAGGCCCUAUUCUCCUGCCUCAAUUUCUGACCUGUGCUUCUGUGACCUGGCCCUGAAAGAGCCACCAGCUCUCUCCAGCUCAGCAGAUGAUCCAGUCUUCACUGGUAGAACUGCCUUGGCUUUAAAUUCGAAGCAUGGUUGGAGCUUAACAAAUGAUAGAAAAAAAUAUGGAGAAUUGAAUUGAUGGGUGAAUAACAUUUGGAGAACAAGCAUAACCACACUGGCCUCAGCUCUCAAAUAUUAAGGAAGCUAAGGGGAGCUCAUCAUUCCUUCCUAAAGUCAGAUUACCCUGAUUCUGUAGAUAUGGAAUCCUGUGGUUAUGCCUCCUCACAAGUGAUGUAAAUUUACAGUUGUUAUGAGAUGACCCUGCAUGUUCUCAAGCAAAUGACAGUAAAGAGGAUGAUAAUGAGUGAAUGAAAUAAAGAGAAGUAGGAGAAAGAAAUGGGCAAUAAAAAAUAGCUUUUAAUGAGCACAUACUCUGUGCCAGGCACUGUGCUAAACACUAGCACACAGCAGCACACUCAAUCCUUACAAUAAUCUUAUAUAGUAGUGAUAUUACCCCUAAUUUACAGGUGAUGAAACUGUAGUGGAGUCAGAAUUUGGUUCCAAACCUGCACUCCUAACCCCUUUGUUAAGCUCCUUUCCCCAUAGGAGGCGAAUUCUCUACUCUUAGGCUUUCACACUCAUUUGGCUUCAAGAAGUAGUGGCUAGGUUGGCCAUCCCCUAUCAUUGUCAUAUGUAAUGUUUUUACCAACAAUACUCUUUGAUGCUAGGGCGCAUCUGUGUAAUCCCUUGCAAAGUUGAAAAACUGAGUUCAUCAACUAGGGCAAGUAAUUUCAGCUCACAUGUCCUGGGAAAAUAACUGGACUUGGAUCUAGUUCCUGCCCUGACCAUGUGGCCUUGAAAACCACUCACCUGCUCUGAGUCUGCUCUCUAGCAUUCCAUGUCUCCAUAGUGUUGUUCAAAAAUUAAAGGAGCCAUUGGCGUAGAAGCACUCUAUGAACUGUAAGGACUACAAAAAUAAAAAUUAUUUCUAUGUCAUAAAAGAAGUUCAACUCCUUUUUUUCCGCUGAAUUCACUAAUUACGUAAAAGUCAUGGAGACAAGAUCUUCCAUGGCUGGAUUCAUUCCAACAACAACAGAUUCCACAAACAUCCAGUAAGGUCCUCACAUGAGCCAGGUGCUUUUAUAGUUUAUUUUCUUUUUUCAAAGACAAGAAACAAUAUGUUUAUGACCAAGUAACUUCUGCAUCUUCUCAUAUUUUGGCAGGUAUUAUACCUGCUGAGGAUUAAAUACCUCGAGCUGGACUUGGAUAGGUCAGUUAAUUGGGAUUCAGACACCCUGGUUUGAUUCCACAAACAACAAGUUGUCCUCCACUUCCUUGGCUCACAAAUGUGCACACAUCUGUGUGGCCCAUGGGGCAAGGUCAAAGUGUUUUUUCCUGGAGGCCAUUUUGUCACAUGUAGUCCCUACAAGACAGUGUGGAUGAGUCACAGCAGAUCCAUCACCCUUGUAACAAACAGCUUAAAUGCAUGCCCUGCUGAGCAUGAGUCAGGGUAAGGGCAGACUUAUAGGCAAUCUCAUUCCGGGCUUUCUAUUUUUUUCCAUCUGGCUUCUCUUCCUGAGUUUGUUUUGCCUUUCCCUAGACACACACAUAGCAGAGCAUCCUUUGCUUGCUACCUGUGUCUGCUGUUUGCAAACACCAUUGCUAUUUCUGAGCAAUGUUUCUUCACCAGGAAAGAACAGGUCCCCCAGACUCUG
RNAcentral lists this long non-coding RNA (1862 nucleotides) under Homo sapiens (human). RNAcentral's name for it is "HSALNT0200407". Lineage: Eukaryota; Metazoa; Chordata; Mammalia; Primates; Hominidae. The record is from RNAcentral.